AAAGAAGGAAGCAAGAAAGCUGAAAUAUAAGAAGAGACAAAAGACAGUAAGGAGAGAAAGUACACCGACCCGUUGCGUCAGCGGUGGUUCUCCGACAGGGCCAGUCGGUUGCACGGUAUUUACCGACGCAGAGGACACCGUAGCCGCCGGGCUUGGUGCGUGUUCCAUCAGAGCACAGGAUGGCGAUGUGCUAGUCGAGGCGGCGUCCAAAGAACAGCUAGCUGCUCCUGGGCUUGGAUAUUUUGAGUGUAGGAUAUUUGUACAAGCUGUUUUACGAAGAAUGAAAGGGAAAGAGGCGAUAUAAACACUAACCGCUACCGGUAAAACUUAAUCCUGGACUCAACAAUCCUUGGUGUUGCUG
This is a long non-coding RNA of Bombus terrestris (buff-tailed bumblebee), 361 nucleotides long. RefSeq lists it as uncharacterized. NCBI's taxonomy places the organism in Eukaryota, Metazoa, Arthropoda, Insecta, Hymenoptera, Apidae. The record is from RefSeq and is a predicted model, not a curated record. The transcript is spliced from 3 exons.